AACGAACGCUGGUGGUAUGCUUAACACAUGCAAGUCGAACGGACCCUUCUAGCUUGCUAGAAGUAAGUCAGUGGCAAACGGGUGAGUAAUACAUAGGAAUCUACCUAGCAGUAAGGAAUAACCCUGGGAAACCAGAGCUAAUACCAUAUAUUACCGAUUUAUCGGGAAAGAUUUAUCGCUGUUAGAUGAGCCUGUGGCCCAUUAGCUUGUUGGUAGGGUAAUGGCCUACCAAGGCGAUGAUGGGUAGCUGGUCUGAGAGGAUGAUCAGCCACACUGGGACUGCGACACGGCCCAGACUCCUACGGGAGGCAGCAGUGGGGAAUAUUGGACAAUGGGCGCAAGCCUGAUCCAGCAAUACCACGUGAGUGAUGAAGGCUUUCGGGUUGUAAAACUCUUUUAGUAGGGAAGAUAAUGACGGUACCUACAGAAAAAGCACCGGCUAACUUCG
This 448-nucleotide ribosomal RNA is filed under the name uncultured Rickettsiales bacterium. RNAcentral's name for it is "bacterial SSU rRNA". It matches the Rfam family "Bacterial small subunit ribosomal RNA", at positions 29 to 505 of the family's 1533-position model. Lineage: Bacteria; Pseudomonadati; Pseudomonadota; Alphaproteobacteria; Rickettsiales. The record is from RNAcentral.